AUCGGUGGUCAUGUGACCAGUGUUUCCAGCAUGGACCCUGUGACAACAUCACCGAUGACACAUGUGGAUGCAUCAAUGCCGUUCCUCCUGAUGGACAAUACUGCCAGUCUGUUAAUCAGCACAACUUCACAGCUUGUCCUGUUAGAACAACCUCUCCACCAACAAAUACCACAACAGUUGCAACAACCCAGAACACUACAUUCUUUACAACUCCCACUGUCACAACUG
This is a long non-coding RNA of Larimichthys crocea (large yellow croaker), 228 nucleotides long. RefSeq lists it as uncharacterized. Lineage: Eukaryota; Metazoa; Chordata; Actinopteri; Sciaenidae. The record is from RefSeq and is a predicted model, not a curated record. The transcript has 3 exons.